AGUGAACGCUGGCGGCGUGCCUAAUACAUGCAAGUCGAACGGAGUGGCUCACGGGUGAGUAAUGUAUAGCUAAUCUGCCCUACCCUAGAGGACAACAGAUGGAAACAACUGCUAAUACUCUAUAGUUUAGCAUGAGGAUAUAUUGUAUCAGCUAGUUGGUGAGGUAAUGGAGCACCAAGGUUAUGACUGAUAACUGGUCUGAGAGGAUGGUCAGUCACACUGGAAGUGAGACACGGUCCAGACUCCUACGGGAGGGAGCAGUAGGGAACAGUGCUAAAUGGGGGAAACGCUGAAGCAGCAACGCCGCGUGGAGGAUGACAUUUUUCGGAGCGUAAACUCCUGUUGUUAGGGAAGCGGUACCUAAAGAAUAAGCCCCGGCUAACUCCGUGCCAGCAGCCGCGGUAAUUC
Molecule: ribosomal RNA, 408 nt
Filed under: uncultured bacterium
Lineage: Bacteria
Description: partial 16S ribosomal RNA
Rfam family: Bacterial small subunit ribosomal RNA
Source: RNAcentral